UACAGAGGUCCCACGCGUUGUUCGGAUUCAUUGGGCGUAAAGGGUGCGUAGGCGGCGCGGUAAGUCGGGUGUGAAAUCUUGGAGCUUAACUCCGAAACUGCAUUCGAUACUGCCGUGCUUGAGGACUGGAGAGGAGACUGGAAUUUACGGUGUAGCGGUGAAAUGCGUAGAUAUCGUAAGGAAGACCAGUGGCGAAGGCGGGUCUCUGGACAGUUCCUGACGCUGAGGCACGAAGGCCAGGGGAGCAAACGGG
RNAcentral lists this ribosomal RNA (253 nucleotides) under uncultured bacterium. RNAcentral describes it as "partial 16S ribosomal RNA". It matches the Rfam family "Bacterial small subunit ribosomal RNA", at positions 524 to 776 of the family's 1533-position model. The record is from RNAcentral.